GUGGGCAGAAUUAUUGCCUCCGAUUCCUUUCCUUUCCUUUCUUCUUACUUUCGCUUAUUUAUUGGCUUUACCACUCACUCCACUCCUUAUUCUCUUCUUUACUUCUUCCUUGACCUACUCCUCUUGUAGCUCUUGCUCUGCUACCAUCUCUCCUGUAUUUGUUUCUACGCUCACCACCACCUCUUGAAGUUACAGAAACCAUGAGGAUGAUGAUAGACUUGGGAAACCAACGAGGUCCACUGCCUAUAAUGGACCCUCCAACCUCCGUAGACUGUGGCAGGGAGGUUCGCUUCCGCAGAUCCUUUAGGUCACUCGUGGAAUGCAUGGUCCCCUGCUGUGGAUUUCAACCAUCCGAUUCCCUUUCCAGCGACACCGACUCUACUCACGGCUCCACUGUAACCGGCACCUUCUUUGGUUACAGAAAGGGUCGCGUUAGUUUUUGCCUCCAGGACGAUACCCGCUGCUCUCCUCUUCUACUUCUUGAGUUUGCAGUUCCCACCGCAUGCCUAGCCAGGGAGAUGCAGUACGGUCUGCUCCGUAUAGCUCUAGAGUGUGACCGACAAAAGGAGAGGUCCAGCUCUUGCUCCAUCUUCAACGUACCGGUGUGGUCCAUGUACUGCAAUGGGAGGAAGGUUGGAUUUGCCAUCAGGAGGCCAAUGACGGUGAACGAUGUGGGUGUUCUCAAGAUGAUGCAGUCGGUCUCCGUAGGUGCAGGAGUUUUGUCGGUGGCGCCCCAGUCUGAGGAUGGAGACCUCAUGUAUCUACGUGCCAGUUUCGAAAGAGUCAUUGGUUCUGCCGACUCAGAAUCUUUUCACAUGAUUAAUCCUGUUGGGAGUUCUGGGCAAGAACUAAGCAUAUUUCUCUUGAGAUCAUGACUACAACUUCAUUUCGCUUCAUAUUUAAAAAUGUAUAUAUAAAAAUUUUUUCUUCUUCUUGAUUAAAUAGCUCAUCUGCAUAUGUAAAAUAUUUUUUCUUUUUAUAUCUUUCGAGUUGAUCAUCUAUUACCAAUGGAAUUUGCAAAAAUGUGUAAUCUUAAUUAAUUCCCAUAUCCAUUUU
Molecule: unclassified non-coding RNA, 1056 nt
Filed under: Hevea brasiliensis (rubber tree)
Lineage: Eukaryota; Viridiplantae; Streptophyta; Magnoliopsida; Malpighiales; Euphorbiaceae
Source: RNAcentral